GCCCUACGGGACGCAGCAGUGGGGAAUAUUGGGCAAUGGGCGCAAGCCUGACCCAGCAACGCCGCGUGAGUGAAGAAGUAUUUCGGUACGUAAAGCUCUAUCAGCAGGGAAGAAAAUGACGGUACCUGACCAAGAAGCCCCGGCUAACUACGUGCCAGCAGCCGCGGUAAUACGUAGGGGGCAAGCGUUAUCCGGAUUUACUGGGUGUAAAGGGAGCGUAGACGGCAGCGCAAGUCUGGAGUGAAAUGCCGGGGCCCAACCCCGGAACUGCUUUGGAAACUGUGCAGCUGGAGUGCAGGAGAGGG
This 305-nucleotide ribosomal RNA is filed under the name uncultured bacterium. Its description in RNAcentral is "bacterial SSU rRNA". It matches the Rfam family "Bacterial small subunit ribosomal RNA", at positions 335 to 658 of the family's 1533-position model. The record is from RNAcentral.